GCCAGACUCCUACGGGAGGCAGCAGUGGGGAAUAUUGCACAAUGGGGGAAACCCUGAUGCAGCGACGCCGCGUGAGUGAAGAAGUAUUUCGGUAUGUAAAGCUCUAUCAGCAGGAACGAGACAAGACGGUACCUGACUAAGAAGCCCCGGCUAACUACGUGCCAGCAGCCGCGGUAAUACGUAGGGGGCAAGCGUUAUCCGGAAUCACUGGGUGUAAAGGGAGCGUAGACGGCUGUGCAAGCCUGAAGUGAAAGGCGGGGGCCCAACCCCUGGACUGCUUUGGGAACUGUACGGCUGGAGUGCAGGAGAGGUAAGUGGAAUUCCUAGUGUAGCGGUGAAAUGCGUAGAUAUUAGGAGGAACACCAGUGGCGAAGGCGGCUUACUGGACUGUAACUGACGUUGAGGCUCGAAAGCGUGGGGAGCAAACAGGAUUAGAUACCCUCGUAAA
Molecule: ribosomal RNA, 448 nt
Filed under: uncultured bacterium
Lineage: Bacteria
Description: bacterial SSU rRNA
Rfam family: Bacterial small subunit ribosomal RNA
Source: RNAcentral